UUAAAAGUUACUAUUCCCUGUUUCUAAGAGACCAUUUCUCGUACUUUCUGAUACUGUUAGAGAAGCGUUCAUCUACAAUAAGAGCAAGAAUUUUAAUUUUAUCUGCAUCUAUCUUCAAACAUCCUUAGAAUGGUCCACAAUUAUAAAGGAAUAACUUCGGCCUAUGACAGAUGAGAGCAGAAUUCAGGAGGAAGAAAUUUAGGCUUUCUCCUCACCCAGUGAUGAAGAG
Molecule: long non-coding RNA, 229 nt
Organism: Physella acuta
Lineage: Eukaryota; Metazoa; Mollusca; Gastropoda; Physidae
Source: RefSeq, a predicted model, not a curated record